GUGAAAUUGUUGAAAGGGAAGCGCUUGCAACCAGACCUGCCUGCAGUUGCUCAUCCGGGCUUUUGCCCGGUGCACUCUUCUGCUGUCAGGCCAGCAUCGGUUCGGGCGGUCGGAUAAAGGCUUCGGGAAUGUAGCUCCUCUCGAGGAGUGUUAUAGCCCGUUGCGAAAUGCGGCCAGCCUGAACUGAGGUCCGCGCUUCGGCUAGGAUGCUGGCGUAAUGGUUGUAAGCGGCCCGUCUUGAAACACGGACCAAGGAGUCUAACAUCUGUGCGAGUGUUUGGGUGUCAAACCCGUACGCGUAAUGAAAGUGAACGGAGGCGGGAACCCCUCGGGGUGCACCGUCGACCGAUCCUGAUGUCUUCGGAUGGAUUUGAGUAAGAGCAUAGCUGUUGGGACCCGAAAGAUGGUGAACUAUGCCUGAAUAGGGUGAAGCCAGAGGAAACUCUGGUGGAGGCUCGCAGCGGUUCUGACGUGCAAAUCGAUCGUCAAAUUUGGGCAUAGGGGCGAAAGACUAAUCGAACUAUCUAGUAGCUGGUUCCUGCCGAAGUUUCCCUCAGGAUAGCAGUAACGUUUUCAGUUUUAUGAGGUAAAGCGAAUGAUUAGAGGCCUGGGGGUUGAAACAACCUUCACCUAUUCUCAAACUUUAAAUAUGUAAGAAGUCCUUGUUACUUAGUUGAACGUGGACAUUUGAAUGUAUCGUUACUAGUGGGCCAUUUUUGGUAAGCAGAACUGGCGAUGCGGGAUGAACCGAACGCGGAGUUAAGGUGCCGGAAUGCACGCUCAUCAGACACCACAAAAGGUGUUAGUUCAUCUAG
This 815-nucleotide ribosomal RNA is filed under the name uncultured Ascomycota. RNAcentral's name for it is "LSU rRNA". It matches the Rfam family "Eukaryotic large subunit ribosomal RNA", at positions 399 to 1236 of the family's 3401-position model. The record is from RNAcentral. Lineage: Eukaryota; Fungi; Ascomycota.